This 275-nucleotide ribosomal RNA is filed under the name uncultured bacterium. Its description in RNAcentral is "partial 16S ribosomal RNA". It matches the Rfam family "Bacterial small subunit ribosomal RNA", at positions 642 to 916 of the family's 1533-position model. The record is from RNAcentral.
GAUGGUUGGGAGAGGGAUGCAGAAUUCCAGGUGUAGCGGUGAAAUGCGUAGAUAUCUGGAGGAAUACCGGUGGCGAAGGCGGCAUCCUGGACCGGCAUUGACGCUGAAGCGCGAAAGCUAGGGGAGCAAACGGGAUUAGAUACCCCGGUAGUCCUAGCCCUAAACGAUGAAUGCUUGGUGUGGCGGGUAUCGAUCCCCGCCGUGCCGAAGCUAACGCAUUAAGCAUUCCGCCUGGGGAGUACGGUCGCAAGGCUGAAACUUAAAGGAAUUGACGG